CUUUAAGAUUUAGAUGCACUAUUGUAAAGUGACUAUUCUACUGGAUGUCAUAAGGUGAAUGCACCAAUUUGUACGUCGCUCUGGAUAAGAGCGUCUGCUAAAUGACUUAAAUGUAAAUGUAAAUGUAGUAGUAGUAGUAGUAGUACAGUAGUAGUAGUAAAGUAGUAGUACAGUGGAGGUACAGUUGUUGUAGUAGUAGUAGUAGUAGUACAGUAGUAGUAGUACAGUAGUAGUAGUAGUAGUUGUACAGUAGUAGUAGUACAGUAGUAGUAGUAGUAGUAGUACAGUAGUAGUACUAGUAGUAGUAGUAGUAGUACAGUAGUAGUAGUAAAGUAGUAGUACAGUUGAGGUACAGUUGUUGUAGUUGUAGUAGUAGUAGUAGUAGUACAGUAGUAGUAGUACAGUAGUAGUAGUAGUAGUUGUACAGUAGUAGUAGUACAUUAGUAGUAGUAGUAGUACAGUAGUAGUAGUAGUAGUAGUAGUAGUAGUAGUAGUAGUUGUACAGUUGUAGUAGUACAGUAGUACAGUAGUAGUAGUACAGUAGUAAUAGUAGUAGUAGUAGUAGUAGUACAGUAGUAGUAGUAGUAGUAGUAGUACAGUAGUAGUAGUCGUACAGUAGUAGUAGUCAUACAGUAGUUGUAGUACAGUAGUGGUAGUAGUAGUAGAGUAGUAGUAGUAGUAGUAGUAGUAGUAGUAGUAGCUGUAGUACAGUAGUAGUAGUAAAGUAGUAGUACAGUUGAGGUACAGUUGUAGUAGUAGUAGUAGUAGUACAGUAGUAGUAGUAGUAGUAGUAGUUGUAGUAGUAGUACAGUAGUAGUAGUAAAGUAGUAGUAUAGUUGAAGUACAUUUGUAGUAGUAGUAGUAGCGGUAGUAGUACAGUAGUAGUAGUAUUAGUUGUACAGUAGUAGUAGUAUUAGUUGUACAGUAGUAGUAGUAGUAGUAGGAGUACUACAGUAGUAGUAGGAGUACUACAGUAGUAGUACAGUAGUAGUACAGUAGUAGUAGUAGUAGUAGUAGUAGUAGUCGUAGUAGUAGUAGUAGUAGUAGUACAGUAGUAGUAGUAAAGUAGUAGUACAGUUGAGGUACAGUUGUAGUAGUAGUAGUAGUACAGUAGUAGUAGUAAAGUACUAGUACAGUUGUAGUACAGUAGUAGUAGUACGUUAGUAGUAGUAAUAGCAGUAGUAGAAAUAGUUAAGUAGUGGUAGUAGUAGCAGCAAUAUAUUAGUAGUAGUAGUAGUACAGUACUGCUGUAGUAGUAGUGGUAGUAGUAGUAGUAGUAGUAGUAGUAGUAGUAGUAGUAGUAGUAGUAUAUUAGUAGUAGUAGUAGUGGCAGUAUAUUAGUAGUAGUAGUAGGAGCAGUAUAGUUGUAGUACAGUAGUACAUCAGUACAGUAGUAGUAGAACAGCAGUAGUAGUACAGUAGUAGUAGUAGUAGUAGUAGUAGUAGUAGUACUAGUAGUAGUAGUAGUAGUAGUAGCUGUAGUACAGUAGUAGUAGUAAAGUAGUACUACAGUUGAGGUACAGUUGUAGUAGUAGUAGUAGUAGUAGUAGUAGUACAGUAGUAGUAGUACAGUAGUAGUAGUAGUAGUAGUAGUAGUAGUAGUAGUAGUAGUAGUAGUAGUAGUAGAGUUGUAGGUACAGUUGUAGUAGUAGUAGUACAGUAGUAUUAGUUGUAGUAGUAGUAGUAGUAGUAGUAGUACAGUAGUAGUAGUGUAGUAGUAGUAGUACAGUAGUAGUAGUAGUAGUAGUAGUACAGUAGUAGUAGUAGUAGUAGUAGCAGUACGUUAGUAGUCGUAGUAGCAGUAUAUUAGUACUAUUAGCAGUAACAGUAUAUUAGUAGCAGUAGUAGUAGCAGUAUAUUAGUAGUAGUAGUACAGUAGUACAGUAGUAGUAGUACAGUAGUAGUACAGUAGUCGUACAGUAGUAGUAGUAGUAUAGUAGUAAAGAGUAUUGUAGUAGUACAGUAGUAAUAGUAGUAGUGUAGUAGUAAAGUAGUAGUACAGUAGUGUAGUAGUAGUAGUAGUAGUAUAUUAGUAGUAGUAGCUGUAGAUCAGUAGUAGUAGCAGUACAGUAGUAGUAGUAUUACAAUAGUAGUAGCAGUAUAUUAGCAGUAGUAGUAGUAUUAGUAGUAGCAACAGUAUAGCAGCAGUAUAUUAGUAGUAGUAGUAGUAGUAGCAGUUAGUAGUAGCAGUAUAUUAGUAGUUAUAGUAUUACUGUAGUAGUAGUAGUAGUAUCAGUAGUAGUAGCAGCAUUUUAGUUGUAAUAGUACAGUAGAAGUGGUAGAAUUAGUACAGUAGUAGUAGUAGUAGUAGUAGUAGUAGUAGUAAUACAGUUGAAGUAGCAGUAGUAGUAGUAGUAGUAGUAGUAUCAUUAGUAGUAGCAGUACAUUAGUACUAGUAGUACAGUAUAAGUCGUAGUAGUAGUAGUACAGUAGAAGUAGUAGUAGUAGAUGUGAUACAGUAGUAAAGUAGUGGUAUUAGUAGUGGUAGUAGUAGUUAAGAAGUGGUACAGUAGUAGUAGUAGUGGUAGCGGUAGUGGUAGUGGUAGUCAUAAUACUGUACUAGUAGUAUUAGUAGUAGUAGUGGUGAUAGCGGAAGUCGUAGUAUUUGUAAGUCGCUCUGGAUAAGAGCGUCUGCUAAAUGACUUAAAUGUAAAUGUAAAUGUACUGUAGUAGUAGUAGUAGUAGUAGUAGUAGUAGUAGUAGUAGUAGUGAUAGUGGUAGAAGUAGUACUGUAGUUUAAGUAGUAGUAAAUUAGUCGUAGUAGUCCAAUCGGCGUUGUAGUAGUAGUAGUAGUGGCGGUGAGAGUUGUAGUAGUAGUAGCAGUAGUAGUGGUAGUAGUUGUAGUAGCAGUAGUGGUAGAAGUGGUAGUAGUAGUAGUAGUAGCAGUGGUGGUAGAAGUGGUAGUAGUAGUAGUAGUAGUGGCGGUGAGAGUUGUAGUAGUAGUAGCAGUAGUAGUGGUAGUAGUUGUAGUAGCAGUAGUGGUAGAAGUGGUAGUAGUAGUAGUAGUAGCAGUGGUGGUAGAAGUGGUAGUAGUAGUAGUAGUAGUGGCGGUGAGAGUGGUAGUAGUAGCUGUAUUAGCACAGUAGUAGUUAAGAUGUGAUACAGUAGUAAAGUUGUGGUAUUAGUAGUGGUACAGUAGUGGUAAAGUAGUGGUAGUAGUAGUAGUUGUAAUAGUAGUAGUAGUAGUGGUAGUACUUCUGUUAGUAGUAUGUGUAAUAGUCGUAAUAGUAGAAGUAGUAGUAGUGGUAGUAGUAGUAUGAGCGGUAGUAGUUAUGUUAGUUGUAGUAGCAGUAGUAGUGGUCAUAGCGGUGGUGGUAGUAGUAGUAGUAGUAGUAGUAGUAGGUGUAAUAGUAGUAGUAGUUGUUGUAAUAGUAGUAGUGGUAGUAGUAGUAGCGGUAGUAGUUCUGUUAGUAGUAGUAGCAGUAGUUGUGGUCAUAGCAGUGGUAGUAAUAGUGGUUAUAGUAGCAGCGGUGAGAGAGCCGGGAGAGAGACGGAGAGAGAGACAUGUCUGAAAGAGUGAAGGGAGAGAGAGAUAAAAAUGGAGAUAGAGACUGAGAUAGCGGGACAGAGCAAGAGAAAGGGGAGAUAGAGACUGAGAUAGCGGGACAGAGCAAGAGAAAGGGGAGAUAGAUAAACACCAAAUAAUGAAUGCAGAGCAGAAUUAGGACAAUUCCCACCAAUUAUCAAAAUCCAGAAAACAGCAGUUAAAUUCCACAACCACUAAAAAAUGAGUCAUUUCUCAAACCUCCUGCCAAAUGUAUGACCAUAUUAGAGUGAAGUAUUUCCCUCAGAUUACACAGACCCACAAAGAAUUUGAAAACAAAACCAAUCUCAGUAACUCCCAAAUCGACAGUAUUAGGUGAAAUACCACGGUGUCACCACAGCAAAAGGAUUUGUGAUCUGUCGCCAGAAGAAAAGGACAACCAGUGAAGAACAAAUACCAUUGUAAAUACAACCUAUAUCUGUCUGUUUAUUUAUUUUCACUUUUGUACUUCAACUAUUUGCGCAUUGCUACAACAUUGCCAAUAAUAUAACAUUUGAAUUGUCUAUAUUCUAUAUAAGUGUAAUGUAAUACUGUUAAUAUUUGAUUGUUUAUUUCACACAGACAGCGUGGGGAAGAAGGCACAGCAGCGCCUCUUCAACCUCAGGAGGCUGAAGAAAUUCGGCUUGUCACCAAACACACUCACAAACUUCUACAGAUGCACAAUCGAUAACAUCCUGUCGGGCUGUAUCACCGCCUGGCACGGCAACUGCUCCGCCCACAACCAUAAGGCUCUCCAGAGGGUAGUGAGGUCUGCACAACGCAUCACCGGGGGCAAACUACCUGCCCUCCAGGACACCUACACCACCCGAUGUCGCAGAAAGGCCAUAAAGAUCAUCAAGGACAACAACCAGCCGAGCCACUGCCUGUUCACCCCGCUUUCAUCCAGAAGGCGAGGUCAGUACAGGUGCAUCAAAGCUGGGACCGAGAGACUGAAAAACAGCUUCUAUCUCAAGGCCAUCAGACUGUUAAACAGCCACCGCUAACAAUGAGUGGCUGCUGCCAACAUACUGACUCAUCUCUAGCCACUUCAAUAAUGAAAAAUUGUUGUAAUAAAUGUAUCACUAGCCACUUUAAACUAUGCCACUUUAUACACUGUUUACAUACCCUACAUUACUAAUCUCAUAUGUAUAUACUGUAAUCUAUGCCAUCUACUGCAUCUUGCCUAAGCCGUUCGGCCAUCGCUGAUUCAUAUAUUUUUAUGUAUAUAUUCUUAAUCAUUUCUUAACACUUGCUUGUAUUAGGUAGUUGUUGUGAAAUUGUUAGGUUUGAUUACUUGUUAGAUAUUACUGCAUGGUCGGAACUAGAAGCACAAGCAUUUCGCUACACUCGCAUCUGUUAACCAUGUGUAUGUGAAAAAUAAAAUUUGAUCUAUUUCACUUGCUUUGACAAUGUAAACAUAUGUAAACAACCUUGAACAGAAAGAGAGAGAAAACAUUGCUUUUUAAAACGUUUUUGAGUGUAAUAUUUACUGUUAAAUUCUAAUUGUUUUUUUUGUGUUGUUUGUUUUUUUUCUCACUUUUGUUUAUUGUUUAUUUCACUUGCUUUGGAAAUGUUAACACAUGUUUCCCAUGCCAAUAAAGCCCUUUUGUAAUUGAA
This is a long non-coding RNA of Oncorhynchus keta (chum salmon), 5140 nucleotides long. RefSeq lists it as uncharacterized. The record is from RefSeq and is a predicted model, not a curated record. NCBI's taxonomy places the organism in Eukaryota, Metazoa, Chordata, Actinopteri, Salmoniformes, Salmonidae. The transcript has 2 exons.